This 433-nucleotide ribosomal RNA is filed under the name uncultured bacterium. Its description in RNAcentral is "partial 16S ribosomal RNA". It matches the Rfam family "Bacterial small subunit ribosomal RNA", at positions 29 to 507 of the family's 1533-position model. The record is from RNAcentral.
AACGAACGCUGGCGGCAUGCCUAACACAUGCAAGUCGAACGAAACCUCCGGGAGUAGUGGCGCACGGCUGUGUAGCGCGAGGGAAGCGGCACUCAGGGUCGGAACAACUCUACGACAGGGGUGACAAUACCGGAUAAGGUCUUCGAACCAAAGAUUUAUCGCCCUUGGUUGUGCACUCGUUGGAUUAGCUAGUUGGUAGGGUAAAAGCCUACUAAGGCGACGAUCCAUAGCUGGUCUGAGAGGAUGCUCAGCAACACGGGGACUGAGACACGGCCGGGACUCCUACGCGAGGGAGCAGUGGGUAAUGUAGGACAAGGGGGGAAGGCCUGAUACAGCAAUGCCGCGUGAGUGAUGAAGGCCGUAGGGUAGUAAAGCUCUUUUACCCGGGAUGAUAAUGACAGUACCGGGAGAAUAAGCUCCGGCUAACUCCGUG